GUACAGGACCAGGGGAGUCCCUGUCGGCGAGGGGCUGAGAGGGUAGCUGUGAGCUGCCGACCCUAGGAACCUGAUCCGGGUAAUACCGGCGGAGGGAGGUUUGGUUUGAAUGUU
This 114-nucleotide non-coding RNA is filed under the name Coprothermobacter proteolyticus. Its description in RNAcentral is "TPP sequence". It matches the Rfam family "TPP riboswitch aptamer (THI element)". From Rfam's summary of the family: Vitamin B(1) in its active form thiamin pyrophosphate (TPP) is an essential coenzyme that is synthesised by coupling of pyrimidine and thiazole moieties in bacteria. Lineage: Bacteria; Pseudomonadati; Coprothermobacterota; Coprothermobacteria; Coprothermobacterales; Coprothermobacteraceae. RNAcentral also lists the same sequence under 1 other name. The record is from RNAcentral.